AUUCCAAAAGCGUUCUCUUUUUUUAAUUACCCAAUGAUGUGUAAUAAACUCGUCGAAUAAAAGGUGCAUUAGUGCGUUUGAGUCGAGAGGAGGGAGUUAUGGUUCUCGUUUGAAAACCAAGGGGCAACAUAACAAGAAAGUCUUUGGCAACACUCCUGAGACGGGACAACAAGCAAAUGACAGUAGACUUCGUGUAAGCAUUCGACCUGCAAAAACGUUCUCAAGAAGCAGUCGAGUUGGUGUUUUUAGGCUCGUUUCCUUUUGGACCGCUUGGAAUAGGUUUCUUUUCUCUGGAACUAUUUAUUGGUUCCUCGCGCAGAAGCGGAUUGGUUCAAACCCAAGAAGAAAGCGAGACUAUUCAAGCCAUCGACUCACUGAUGGUUGAAGAUGAUGAGCGAUUGACAAAUGCAGUCUGGAAUCUGCUGGCAUCACAGCACAACAUCACUCUAAGCACCGUCAGAAGACAGUUGAAGAAACUUGAGUGGACUUAUGGAAAGGCUCUGGCCAGUCAAGGUGGAAGUUUGAAUUGAUCAUGACAUCCUUUGACCUGUGGGGGAGCAGUGAACUAUUCUCCUCUGGAGUAUGGGCCCUGAGAAACCUGAUCCACAGGAUGCCGACCACCCCUCCCUCCUCCCUCUAUGCCCACCCACCAGCUUUCCCGGCCUUUUCCUCCACCACACCAC
RNAcentral lists this long non-coding RNA (683 nucleotides) under Salmo salar (Atlantic salmon). Its description in RNAcentral is "lncRNA (ENSSSAG00000095114.1)". Lineage: Eukaryota; Metazoa; Chordata; Actinopteri; Salmoniformes; Salmonidae. The record is from RNAcentral.